AGCUCCAAUAGCGUAUAUUAAAGUUGUUGCAGUUAAAAAGCUCGUAGUUGGAUCUGAGGAUGUGAGCUGAUGGUCCGCCACGCGGUGUGACUGUCGGCUCGGCCUACCUAGCCGGUGUCUGCCCCUGGUGCUCUUAGCUGAGUGCCUUGGGUGCCCGGCACGUUUACUUUGAAAAAAUUAGAGUGCUCAAAGCAGGCCGUGAGCCUGAAUAGUGGUGCAUGGAAUAAUGGAAUAGGACUUCGGUUCUAUUUUGUUGGUUUUCGGAACCCGAGGUAAUGAUUAAGAGAGACAGACGGGGGCAUUCGUAUUGCGGUGUUAGAGGUGAAAUUCUUGGAUCGCCGCAAGACGAACAACUGCGAAAGCAUUUGCCAAGAAUGUUUUCAUUAAUCAAGAACGAAAG
RNAcentral lists this ribosomal RNA (400 nucleotides) under phytoplankton environmental sample. RNAcentral's name for it is "partial small subunit ribosomal RNA". It matches the Rfam family "Eukaryotic small subunit ribosomal RNA", at positions 587 to 989 of the family's 1831-position model. The record is from RNAcentral.